UCCAACAGCAUCAUCACGAAUACAAGUGCUUUGUGCUCAUUAAACUUUGGGACAUUGAAACACAGGCCAGGGGAGAUGAUUGGAUAGGAAGUAUUGCUCUAUCCAUUUACCUCCCAGCCUAUGAAA
Phyllostomus hastatus (greater spear-nosed bat) is the source of this 126-nucleotide small nucleolar RNA. Lineage: Eukaryota; Metazoa; Chordata; Mammalia; Chiroptera; Phyllostomidae. The record is from RefSeq and is a predicted model, not a curated record.